This 478-nucleotide long non-coding RNA is filed under the name Physcomitrium patens. Its description in RNAcentral is "long non-coding RNA (PPAT_LNC010747)". The record is from RNAcentral. Lineage: Eukaryota; Viridiplantae; Streptophyta; Bryopsida; Funariales; Funariaceae.
AUAAAUCUUAAAUAUAUUCUAAUCAAAUCUUAUUUUAAUCUUAUUUAAAAUCCUAAUGGAUUUUAAUUAAAUCUUAGGUAAAAUCCUAACUAAAUCCUAAAUCAUAAAUCAAAUCUUAGACAAAUCUUAAGCCCUAAAUUAAAUCCUAAAAAAAUCCUAAAUCCUAAACUAUAUCCUUGAAAAAUCCUAAACCAAUUUAGAAUCCCAAUAUUUAUUCAUUAAAUCAUCGAUUUUACUAAAAAAUUUACACACCUCUCAAUCUUUAAGUUGGCAACAAACACACAAAAUUUGAAGAAGAUCGAAUUAUCCAAAUAGAAGAUCAAAGCUAAAUUCCGCUCAAGUAUUGGCCAGCCUCCUACUCCAAUCUGAAUGUUAACUUCGAGUGCCAAUAUUUUUUUCUUAAACCAUUGCAUUUCCUCUAAAAUAUACCUAAACUAUUGGAAAUCAAGUCUAAUCUCUAUAAAAAUAAAAUUCACUU